This 253-nucleotide ribosomal RNA is filed under the name uncultured bacterium. RNAcentral's name for it is "partial 16S ribosomal RNA". It matches the Rfam family "Bacterial small subunit ribosomal RNA", at positions 524 to 776 of the family's 1533-position model. RNAcentral also lists the same sequence under 1 other name. The record is from RNAcentral.
GACGAAGGGGGCUAGCGUUGCUCGGAAUUACUGGGCGUAAAGCGCGUGUAGGCGGCUGUUCAAGUUGGGCGUGAAAGCCUUGGGCUUAACCCAAGAAAUGCGCUCAAUACUGGAUAGCUAGAGGACCGGAGAGGAUAGUGGAAUUCCCAGUGUAGUGGUGAAAUACGUAGAGAUUGGGAAGAACACCAGUGGCGAAGGCGGCUAUCUGGACGGUUUCUGACGCUAAGACGCGAAAGCGUGGGGAGCAAACAGG